This 313-nucleotide ribosomal RNA is filed under the name uncultured Arcobacter sp. Its description in RNAcentral is "bacterial SSU rRNA". It matches the Rfam family "Bacterial small subunit ribosomal RNA", at positions 29 to 334 of the family's 1533-position model. The record is from RNAcentral. Lineage: Bacteria; Pseudomonadati; Campylobacterota; Epsilonproteobacteria; Campylobacterales; Arcobacteraceae.
AGUGAACGCUGGCGGCGUGCCUAACACAUGCAAGUCGAACGAGAACGGGUUAUAGUUUACUAUAACUGUCAGCUAAGUGGCGCACGGGUGAGUAAUAUAUAGUUAAUCUGCCCCAAAGAAGAGAAUAAUUGUUGGAAACGACUUGUAAUGCUCUAUAUGCCUUUAUGACAUAAGUCAGCAAGGGAAAUAUUUAUAGCUUUGGGAUGAGACUGUACGGUAUCAGAUAGUUGGUGAGGUAAUGGCUCACCAAGUCAAUGACGCCUAACUGGUUUGAGAGGAUGAUCAGUCACACUGGAACUGAGACACGGUCCAG